AAAACCUCACUAAACCUCCUUAAAAUUGCUACCAAAAUCUUCCUUGCAAGGUAAGGAUUAACUUUAAAGAAAGGACUUAGUGGAAAGGAUGGCUCCAAGUGGGUUGCAUGGAGCUUCACUCAAAUGGCCAUGGAGGUUUUCUCCCAAAGGAUUCAGCUGGUUUGCUCAAGGAAGAAGAUGAAGGAAUCUUCUGCCCAAACUGAUUAAAAAUUCCACUUUGAAGGUGUUAGUGGAGCACUAAGUAAGUUUAUUA
This 253-nucleotide unclassified non-coding RNA is filed under the name Hevea brasiliensis (rubber tree). Lineage: Eukaryota; Viridiplantae; Streptophyta; Magnoliopsida; Malpighiales; Euphorbiaceae. The record is from RNAcentral.